GUCAGGAGAGACACCUGUCUGUUUAUGUGCAAACUAGUAACAGUGAUAUGCCUUUGUUGUUUUUCAGUGGUUAAGUCCAAAGUGAGGACUUUAUUAGAUCAAUGAAUUUAGAUAACUGACGCAAUAAACCUUUACCGUUAUGCAAAUAUUAUUUUAAUAUGCCAUUAAGUUCAUGAAGAUACACAAUCAUACAUCUACAAGAAUGCGAGAACAUCUCAUCAAUAAGGCUUUGAUUAUUAUGCUUAGACCACUGUCUGAAUAAAAAAAGCUAACAGCACUUCAGAAAGCACUGCUGCUAGUAUGCAGUCGUAAGACUUCUAUAGCCCAGGCAUUCACGAGUGACGUCAAAUUGCCGUAGGCUUGCUAGUAAUACAGUCAAUGCCUGAUAGGUUUUAAGAGUUGUGUACGCAGGGCGCUUUAAUUGUCUAUUCUGCUAUGCCAACUAGCUGAGUAUAGUAGCCUAACUAAUAAAUAUAAUAAUAAAUACAAGCUCAAAUAAACAAACAAACAAUGAAUAAACGCCUGUAUUCAUAUCACAUUAUUAAAAGCCUUCCAGCAUCUCCAACGCAAAGCCGUGAAGACACAUUGAAUUAUAUUAUUAUAGGCUACAGUCUUAAUACAAAGGCCUCAAAUGUAGUUACUUAGAUAAGUAGCCAAUUACAUGAAGCACAUUUCAUUAAAAUAAACAAAUACAUAAAUAAAUAAAAAGUUUUAUUCACUAGAUUAUUUGUUCUACCUCUGAAAUCUCAAAAUAAAAGCAAACGCCACUAGCAAUCGAGUAGAAAUGAAUCACUUUGCACUUAAAAAUAGCCUGUAAUCGGUGGUUGCGCUGAAGGAACUUCCACGCUGAAAGCCGUUUUCGAGCAACUAGAUGUGCAAGCAAAAUAGUCCUGGUAUUUAUCAUUGUAAAAUGCACUGCACGAGAAAGAGUCCUCACACACAGGGCUCAGCAUGCGUCCACACACACAAUAGCGCUCCCCCAUCAGGACCUCCAUCGAUUAGGACGAGACACUACACUAAAUAUUUACUGAUCACACACAAAUAGCAGGAUCUUUAACGAUUUUCCAUGGCUGGGACGCGAAGAAAGGGGUAAAUCACUUAAUUAUUGUUUGUAAAGUAAAGUACGCACUCUGGGACACGAGUGUGUAAGAUGGGACUCAUGUAAGAGAAGUUAUAAGCGAAUAAAUCGAUAGACAUUGAAUAAGCAAAGCUAAAUAUCCGAACCGCAGCAGAUCUCUCAGUCAUCAGCCGACUACAUAUUAAACUAGAAUUUGAACCUUAAAAACACAGCUGAACUCUGCUUGAUUAACUAGCCUAACAUAUAAAAUGUUAUAUCGAAAAUAUCCCUUUUUCCCCUCAAUGGAUCAACACCCACAGUACACCCACAGUACUACUACUACUUUAUUUUAUUCAUAUUAAGCCACGGACAUUAUAUAGUAGUUUUCAAAAGCUUUGCGAGCGCAGGUGUCUAUUGCGCUUUGAUGGGUUGGAAGAGGAAAGUUCACCCUAAUCUUAUCGCUGCCUCCACCGAAUCCUUCAAGCAAGAGAUAGAGGCAAUCUGACCCUCGGGUCACUGAGAUCCCGGCCUGAUUAACCCUUACGGACUCAGAACGGCUCAAAGGUUAACCAGGCUAAUCAACAUCAGGAGACUGAUUAAGGCGAAUCAGAAGUCAGAAAUACAUAAAUAUAACUUAUUAUUUAAAAAAUCUAAUUAUUACCGAAAAAUUUAACAAAAUGUACAAUCGCAUCUCACAAAUUCCAGGUUAUUAAGUUGGAUGCAUCAUGCUAAUGAAGGACUUACAUAUUUAGGCUUCAAUAUUAUCAUAUUGCACGAAAACGUAACGUAAUUAUUAUUAUUAUUAUUAUUAUUAUUAUUAUUAUUAUUAUUAUUAUUAUUAUUAUUAUUAUUAUUAUUAUUAUUAUUAUUAUUAUUAUUGCUGAUGAAUGCUUUUUAUUUGCAUGCUUAUGUUGGGUUGAUCAGACCUGUGGUUUUCAUUCCUGGUCCUGCAUGGGAAGCCACAGAACUGCACAUUUUGUCUCAUAUUUGAAGGAUUGAAAACCACUGGAUCAGACGGUGUGGUUUAAAACGUGUCCAAACGAGCAAGUAAUAGACCUGUCAGCUGGUGUGGUUGCAGUCUAUAUAGCACAUCUGUUGUGAAGCAUUUUCUGAUAUUUUGCAGUAAUUGGCAAUUACAAUUCUCUUGGCCAAUACAGCAAUAAAUUUGCGUUUGCAGAUUAGCCUUUUUUAUUUAUUUUACUAGAUGUAAAGGAAGCAUUAUCAAUUUAUUUUCAGACUGAUUACACUUGUAAACAUGCAAUGUGUGCACAUAUCUGUAUUUCUUGCUUUGAAAUUUGUAAUAUUUUCAAUAACCUAUUAGUGUCUUAAAUUUGAGGACUAACAACAAAAAUAUUUGUAAUGCUAUUGAACAUUUUAUUUUAAUUAUAUAAACUAAGUAUAAGCAACAUAAAUUUAAAGAUUUUUUAAAUACGCCAGCCUCAAAAAGUCAGUUACAGAAAAAGACUUAACCUAUCAACUUGCUGACAGUCUAAAAUGUACAUGACAGGUAACAUGAAAUGAUUUCAUAAACUAAAUAUAUUUCUAAUAUGUGAAUGUGCUACAGUUUAUGCCUGCUGGCACUAUAUUUAAUUGCUCAGUUCCACCUGUACAUGGAAUUUUACUACUAAAAAGGGAGAAAGACACUGGGAAAAUCUGAUUAUGAUUAUUCUCAAUACAUUAAUCCAAAAUAAUAUAGAAAACUUCUGAAGUAUUUUCUCACGCAAUCCUGCCUUUUUAUUGUUUGUCAUUUAAAUGGCUCUAAGAAAACUCCCCUUGACAUAUUCAUCCAACUCAUUGAAGAAAAUCUCAUAUCGGUUACGGGCAAAUUGAAUAGGAUUAUAGUUUUAUUCUCUUCAGAAGCCUGGCUCUGUGCCCAAAUAUGGUGUAAUUUGUUCAGCAUUACCUUCAGUCUUAAAACAACACCAUUGCCCUGGGAAUUCCGAUGACUUACUGCUUCUUCACAGGACUAGAAGCACUUCGCUAUGUAUUUCACUCUUUAAGAAAAGAACAUGGACUAACGGUUGCCACAGUCCAUUAAAAAAAUCUUAUGAUAUUAUACCCUACACCCAUACAGCCUAGACUUCAAAAUGUAAUUGUUUGGGAAGUCUUUCAAUGUCCUUUUCUUAUUUCUUAUAGCAUAGCAAUAAUACCAGACUGCAGCGAGACUGAAGGGAUGCUCCUGACCUGUUACACAAAGUGUUGUAGUGGAAUUAACUGUACUACAGUAUCAAAGAUAGUUUCCACAGGUAUAGCAGCAGCAGUAUAAAGUAUACACGUAAAGUGUCAUACUGAACUUAAACAGACCUCUGCAGGACUGUGAUGCGGGCAGAGGACACGGCCACUGUGGGAACUGAAGACUACUGAGUGGUGACGUUGACAUCAACACCAAAUGCCUGAUGGGAGGAAAAGCAUCACGCAAAGAUCCCACAAUGACAAAGCAGGGAAGGUAGGCCUUAAUGUAUGCUUUUGACCUACUGGAGCAACUAACCUGUAAUGGAUUCUUUUAUAGGCAAAAGGAUCAUUGGCUCAACUGACAACAAACUGCUUGAAAUCAACGACAUACAUAUUGUAAUUCUGCAAAUAAUGUUAUGAUGUAUGAUUAAAUAAUGCAACUGAACAAGAUGUAGCACUGUAUCUCUCUAGAGAAUGAUGCAAUGAAAAAAAAAAACUUUUCUUGAUGACAAUAGAAGACAUGUUUAAUUAUCAACUGUACAAUAAUUUCUGCCAAAAGCACAAGUAAAUAAACAUGGCUCCUG
Molecule: long non-coding RNA, 3813 nt
Organism: Cyprinus carpio carpio
Lineage: Eukaryota; Metazoa; Chordata; Actinopteri; Cypriniformes; Cyprinidae
Source: Ensembl